This 963-nucleotide long non-coding RNA is filed under the name Fragaria vesca (wild strawberry). RNAcentral's name for it is "long non-coding RNA (FVES_LNC004272)". The record is from RNAcentral. Lineage: Eukaryota; Viridiplantae; Streptophyta; Magnoliopsida; Rosales; Rosaceae.
UUGGUGUCCCUGGAAAGUAGACACAUAGACCUUUCCAAUGGUACCAAUUUCACCAUUUUCCAGUGAGUGAGAUUUCCUAUAGGUCUCGUGGAAGUUGACCUACAAAACUUGGCAGAUUCUGAUUUCGCUUUUGAUGUGUCUUUCUUAUGUAGGGAUAGAAUAAUCCUCAACCUUUCAUACCAUUAAGUAUUGAAAAAGGAGUUACUGCCAUUACAUUGGCGUUGCGUGGGCGCAUAGCUACACUUAGCUUUACAACUUUUCAUAGCGAAUGAGAUGUCAAGUCUUUUGUAUUGUGUUGAGUACAUUGAUGCGUCUUUUUGUACUUAGAUGGGAACUUCAUCUCUUAACACAUAUUUGUCAUCUUGCUUUAGACAAAACAACAGAUCUCUCUUUAGAGCAAAGACCUUGACUAAUCAUGGGAGUAUAUGUAGGCCUCACUAGUUAUAGAGCGUCUAAGCCGAUUGAUCAUUAAUACAGUCAUCGAGUGCCUUAUCGAGACUGUGUCUUCCCAAGAUCUUUUUCUUCGGAUGUUGAUACAUAUUGGCAUCUCUUGAUCCAUCAAAAGUCCAUGUAAAUCCGGAAUGAACACGCAAAGGCAUAAUUCACCAUAUCCCUUCCAAAUCAAGUAGAGUUCAUGUGCGUUUCAAUACAUUUAGCAAAUGCAUGCUCCUGUGGUUUGGAGCCACUUGAUUCGGAUGAAUGAAGUCCGUUUAAGAUCUUCAUGUAUAUCUCUGAUCCCAUAGAGAUGUUAUUAUGACCACAUUCAUAGGCUGCAUGUUCAGUUAGUCGGAAACUACCAAACUGACAAAGUAGUGGAGUUCAAUGACAUCCAUUACGAGAGCAUAUCUCAUCGUAGUCGACCCAGUGCGUGUUAGUGAGAGACCUUGCGCCAUAAGGUGAGUCUUAGCUCUUGUUCUCACUACGCUAUCUAACAAAGGUAUAGUUGAUAGGGUUUAGCUUGCG